RNAcentral lists this ribosomal RNA (441 nucleotides) under uncultured Alphaproteobacteria bacterium. Its description in RNAcentral is "bacterial SSU rRNA". It matches the Rfam family "Bacterial small subunit ribosomal RNA", at positions 335 to 793 of the family's 1533-position model. The record is from RNAcentral. Lineage: Bacteria; Pseudomonadati; Pseudomonadota; Alphaproteobacteria.
ACUCCUACGGGAGGCAGCAGUGGGGAAUAUUGGACAAUGGGCGCAAGCCUGAUCCAGCCAUGCCGCGUGAGUGAUGAAGGCCCUAGGGUUGUAAAGCUCUUUUGUGCGGGAAGAUAAUGACGGUACCGCAAGAAUAAGCCCCGGCUAACUUCGUGCCAGCAGCCGCGGUAAUACGAAGGGGGCUAGCGUUGCUCGGAAUCACUGGGCGUAAAGGGUGCGUAGGCGGGUCUUUAAGUCAGGGGUGAAAUCCUGGAGCUCAACUCCAGAACUGCCUUUGAUACUGAAGAUCUUGAGUUCGGGAGAGGUGAGUGGAACUGCGAGUGUAGAGGUGAAAUUCGUAGAUAUUCGCAAGAACACCAGUGGCGAAGGCGGCUCACUGGCCCGAUACUGACGCUGAGGCACGAAAGCGUGGGGAGCAAACAGGAUUAGAUACCCUGGUAG